CAAAAACAUAGCCAGAUGUUAAUAUAUUUGGUGCUUUYUGCUCAAUGAUAUAUUUAAUAGCCGCAGUACUUUGACUGUGCAAAGGUAGCAUAAUCAAUUGACUUAUAAUUGAAGUCUGGAAUGAAAGGAUUCACGGGAAAUUACUGUAUCAAAUAUUUAAAGUGAAAUUAGGUUUCAAGUGCAAAUGCUUGUAAAUAAUUGUUAGACGAGAAGACCCUAGAAAUUUGUAUAUACGUUUGGUUGGGGCAACAUAGUAGGAGUUAACCUACAAUAGGGACAAGAAAUUAGUUAGCAAGAAUAAAUUACUCUAGGGAUAACAGCAUAAUUUAUAAAAGUUUGUGACCUCGAUGUUGGAUUUGGGAAUUAUAGUCCAGAAGAUUGUUAAUAUUGCUCUGUUCGAGCACAACAC
Molecule: ribosomal RNA, 409 nt
Filed under: Rhagada dominica
Lineage: Eukaryota; Metazoa; Mollusca; Gastropoda; Stylommatophora; Camaenidae
Description: partial 16S ribosomal RNA
Rfam family: Bacterial large subunit ribosomal RNA
Source: RNAcentral